UACGUAGGGGGCAAGCGUUGUCCGGAAUCAUUGGGCGUAAAGCGCGCGUAGGCGGCCCGGUAAGUCCGUUGUGAAAGUCAAAGGCUCAACCUUUGAACGCCGAUGGAUACUGCCGGGCUAGAGUCCGGAAGAGGCGAGUGGAAUUCCCGGUGUAGCGGUGAAAUGCGCAGAUAUCGGGAGGAACACCUAUGGCGAAGGCAGCUCGCUGGGACGUUACUGACGCUGAGACGCGAAAGCGUGGGGAGCAAACAGG
Molecule: ribosomal RNA, 253 nt
Filed under: uncultured bacterium
Lineage: Bacteria
Description: partial 16S ribosomal RNA
Rfam family: Bacterial small subunit ribosomal RNA
Source: RNAcentral